Molecule: transfer RNA, 67 nt
Filed under: Ochotona nigritia (black pika)
Lineage: Eukaryota; Metazoa; Chordata; Mammalia; Lagomorpha; Ochotonidae
Description: tRNA-Pro
Rfam family: tRNA
About the family: Transfer RNA (tRNA) molecules are approximately 80 nucleotides in length. Their secondary structure includes four short double-helical elements and three loops (D, anti-codon, and T loops). Further hydrogen bonds mediate the characteristic L-shaped molecular structure. tRNAs have two regions of fundamental functional importance: the anti-codon, which is responsible for specific mRNA codon recognition, and the 3' end, to which the tRNAs corresponding amino acid is attached (by aminoacyl-tRNA synthetases). tRNAs cope with the degeneracy of the genetic code in two manners: having more than one tRNA (with a specific anti-codon) for a particular amino acid; and 'wobble' base-pairing, i.e. permitting non-standard base-pairing at the 3rd anti-codon position.
Source: RNAcentral
CAAAGAGUAGUUUAAGAAGAAUGUCAGCUUUGGGUGCUGAUGGUGGGACGUUAAGUCUCUUCUUUGA